UCCUCUGUCAGCUUGUCGUUUCUUGACAGUAGUUGACCGUUCAUGUCCUGUCCCUAUCACCUGGGGCUUCCAUUCGUCGUGUGCUGGUCCGGGAGAGGGAUGGAUUGGUUGUGUCUGAGUCCGGGAUCAUCUAUUAGGUCCGGAUCAUCUCCGGGGUCCGGGAUCAUCUCCGGGGUCUGGGAUCAUCUCCUGGGUCCGGAUCAUCUCCGGGAUCCGGGAUCAUCUCCUGGUCAUGCAGUGCUUGGAUCCGGGUUAUAUCCUAUCAUUUGCCCCCCACUCCCUUAUACAGAUUUUCUGUGUGAGGGAGUAGAGUUUUGUGUCCGGUCUGGGCUGAUUGCGGAGAGGGUGAAGUUUUUUU
Molecule: long non-coding RNA, 358 nt
Filed under: Daucus carota (carrot)
Lineage: Eukaryota; Viridiplantae; Streptophyta; Magnoliopsida; Apiales; Apiaceae
Description: long non-coding RNA (DCAR_LNC005014)
Source: RNAcentral